This is a non-coding RNA of Pelobates cultripes (western spadefoot toad), 236 nucleotides long. The record is from the annotation of a GenBank genome assembly. NCBI's taxonomy places the organism in Eukaryota, Metazoa, Chordata, Amphibia, Anura, Pelobatidae.
UUGACAGUUCAAAAUUAAAUGUACAGAAUUUUUUUUGGGAGAAUAUAAACUAUUUAGUAAUCCAUUCAAAUAGACAGGUGUACGGACGGAUUCAUUUACCAUAUAGACUACAUUCUGAAAAAAGGUUUGUGCUUUGAAUUAUUCAAUGUUUAUGCAUUCUAAGAGAUAACUAUUUCUGUAGAGUAACAGACGGACAGACAGACAGACAGCUAGCAAAAUGAGAGAGUGAUGCUGAG